GAUGAACGCUGGCGGCGUGCCUAAUACAUGCAAGUCGAGCGAACAGACGAGGAGCUUGCUCCUUUGACGUUAGCGGCGGACGGGUGAGUAACACGUGGAUAACCUACCUAUAAGACUGGGAUAACUUCGGGAAACCGGAGCUCAUACCGGAUAACAUGUUGAACCGCAUGGUUCAACAGUGAAAGACGGUCUUGCUGUCACUUAUAGAUGGAUCCGCGCCGCAUUAGCUAGUUGGUAAGGUAACGGCUUACCAAGGCAACGAUGCGUAGCCGACCUGAGAGGGUGAUCGGCCACACUGGAACUGAGACACGGUCCAGACUCCUACGGGAGGCAGCAGUAGGGAAAUCUUCCGCAAUGGGCGAAAGCCUGACGGAGCAACGCCGCGUGAGUGAAGAAGGUCUUCGGAUCGUAAAACUCUGUUAUUAGGGAAGAACAAAUGUGUAAGUAACUAUGCACGUCUUGACGGUACCUAAUCAGAAAGCCACGGCUAACUACGUG
Molecule: ribosomal RNA, 498 nt
Filed under: uncultured bacterium
Lineage: Bacteria
Description: partial 16S ribosomal RNA
Rfam family: Bacterial small subunit ribosomal RNA
Source: RNAcentral